UCCGGUUGAUCCCGCCGGACGGUACCGCUAUUGGAGUUCGAUUAAGCCAUGCGAGUCGCGAGAAAUUAGAUUCUCGGCGUACCGCUCAGUAACACGUGGGUAACCUGCCCUAUGCUGGAUAAUAACCUCGGGAAACUGAGAAUAAUGAUCCAUAGUUCACUACGCCUGGAACGGUGAGUGGAUGAAAGCUCCGGCGGCAUAGGAUGGGCCUGCGGCGUAUCAGGUUGUAGGGGGUGUAACGUACCCUCUAGCCCUCUACGCGUACGGGUGUUGGGAGACAUAGCCCGGAGAUGGAUUCUGAGACACGAAUCCAGACCCUACGGGGUGCAGCAGGCGCGAAAACUUGGCAAUGCGAGAAAUCGUGACCAGGGAACUCCAAGUGCAUCGGGUAAGAGCCGCGUGCUUUUCUUGACUCUAAAUAGGUCUUGGAAUAAGGGGUGGGUAAGGACGGUGCCAGCCGCCGCGGUAAUACCGGCGCCUCAAGUGGUAGUCGCUUUUAUUGGGCCUAAAACGUCCGUAGCCGGUCUGAUACAUUCGUGGGUAAAUCAACCAGCUCAACUGGUUGAAUUCUGCGAGGACGGUCAGACUUGGGACCGGGAGAGGUGUGGGGUACGCUCAGGGUAGGGGUAAAAUCCUGUCAUCCUGAGCGGACCACCUGUUGCGAAGGCGCCACACUAGAACGGAUCCGACGGUCAGGGACGAAGCCUAGGGGCACGAACCGGAUUAGAUACCCGGGUAGUCCUAGGUGUAAACGCUGUGGACUUGAUGUUGGGGGUGCUCCGAGCACUCUCAGUGUCGAAGCGAAGGUGAUAAGUCCACUGCCUGGGAAGUACGGUCGCAAGGCUGAAACUUAAAGGAAUUGGCGGGGGAGCACCGCAACCUGAGGAUUGUGCGGUUUAAUUGGACUCAACGCGG
RNAcentral lists this ribosomal RNA (915 nucleotides) under unidentified archaeon. It matches the Rfam family "Archaeal small subunit ribosomal RNA", at positions 1 to 920 of the family's 1478-position model. The record is from RNAcentral.